Non-coding RNA from Microcebus murinus (gray mouse lemur), 623 nucleotides. Lineage: Eukaryota; Metazoa; Chordata; Mammalia; Primates; Cheirogaleidae. The record is from RefSeq and is a predicted model, not a curated record.
CUCCACGUCGACAGUGGUGGUCAGCUCCGCGCGGAGCUGCUGCUGGAAGAGGUCCUGCAGGGUCUUCAGGGGCAGGGGCAGCUUCGGGAAAGAACACCCAGACGUGCAGGGAAGACGCCACGUGAAGAUGGAGGCCGAGAUCCAAGGGACGCGCGUGAACAAGCCCAGGGACUGCGAGGAGUGCCCGCCACCCCAGAAGCUGGAAGGGCAGGAAGGAUCCUACCCCUGGAGCCUUUGGAAGGAGUAGGCGCUGUCCUCAUCUGGAUUUCACAUUUAUGGGGCCCAGAACUGAAAGUGAAUAGUUUCUGGUUUUCUAAGCUACCAAGUUUGUGACACUUUGUUAAAGCCCCAGGAAACUCACAGGGGGGCUGAUCAGAAAAACCUCGUGUGAUAACUGGCUCUUCACAGAGGGAAUUAGAAAGUUUGUGACCUGGGAUGGGAAAAACACAACUCUUAUGCUCAGCAUUCCUGGACUACAGUGCAUGCCCAGCAAUGAUGGACACAGGGAGCAAACUACCUCAUGUUAAGGGUCAUUAACUACAGACUGAGAAUUUACAGGAGUUACUAGAGCUGCUCCUGGGCCUCGUUGUUUAAUGCAUUAAUAAAGCAGCAUAUAAAUCCUC